RNAcentral lists this transfer RNA (85 nucleotides) under Burkholderiales bacterium. RNAcentral's name for it is "tRNA-Leu". It matches the Rfam family "tRNA". Rfam says of the family: Transfer RNA (tRNA) molecules are approximately 80 nucleotides in length. Their secondary structure includes four short double-helical elements and three loops (D, anti-codon, and T loops). Further hydrogen bonds mediate the characteristic L-shaped molecular structure. tRNAs have two regions of fundamental functional importance: the anti-codon, which is responsible for specific mRNA codon recognition, and the 3' end, to which the tRNAs corresponding amino acid is attached (by aminoacyl-tRNA synthetases). tRNAs cope with the degeneracy of the genetic code in two manners: having more than one tRNA (with a specific anti-codon) for a particular amino acid; and 'wobble' base-pairing, i.e. permitting non-standard base-pairing at the 3rd anti-codon position. The record is from RNAcentral. Lineage: Bacteria; Pseudomonadati; Pseudomonadota; Betaproteobacteria; Burkholderiales.
GCCGGAGUGGUGGAACUGGUAGACGCGCCGGACUCAAAAUCCGGUACCGAAAGGUGUGCGGGUUCGAUUCCCGCCUCCGGCACCA